Molecule: ribosomal RNA, 1161 nt
Filed under: Phormidesmis sp. WJT66-NPBG34
Lineage: Bacteria; Bacillati; Cyanobacteriota; Cyanophyceae; Leptolyngbyales; Leptolyngbyaceae
Description: bacterial SSU rRNA
Rfam family: Bacterial small subunit ribosomal RNA
Source: RNAcentral
GGGGAAUUUUCCGCAAUGGGCGAAAGCCUGACGGAGCAAUACCGCGUGAGGGAGGAAGGCUUUUGGGUCGUAAACCUCUUUUAUUGGGGAAGAAGAACUGACGGUACCCAAUGAAUCAGCAUCGGCUAACUCCGUGCCAGCAGCCGCGGUAAUACGGAGGAUGCAAGCGUUAUCCGGAAUUAUUGGGCGUAAAGCGUCCGCAGGUGGUUUUACAAGUCUGCUGUCAAAGCGCGGAGCUUAACUUCGUAUCGGCAGUGGAAACUGUGGAACUAGAGUUUGGUAGGGGUCACGGGAAUUCCCAGUGUAGCGGUGAAAUGCGUAGAUAUUGGGAAGAACACCAGCGGCGAAAGCGCGUGACUGGGCCUGAACUGACACUCAUGGACGAAAGCUAGGGGAGCGAAAGGGAUUAGAUACCCCUGUAGUCCUAGCUGUAAACGAUGACAACUAGGUGUUGCCCGUAUCGACCCGGGCAGUGCCGUAGCUAACGCGUUAAGUUGUCCGCCUGGGGAGUACGCACGCAAGUGUGAAACUCAAAGGAAUUGACGGGGGCCCGCACAAGCGGUGGAGUAUGUGGUUUAAUUCGAUGCAACGCGAAGAACCUUACCAGGGCUUGACAUGUCGCGGACCUCGGUGAAAGCUGAGGGUGCCUUUGGGAGCGCGAACACAGGUGGUGCAUGGCUGUCGUCAGCUCGUGUCGUGAGAUGUUGGGUUAAGUCCCGCAACGAGCGCAACCCUCGUUUCUAGUUGCCAGCAUUUAGUUGGGCACUCUGGAGAGACUGCCGGUGACAAACCGGAGGAAGGUGGGGAUGACGUCAAGUCAGCAUGCCCCUUACGUCCUGGGCUACACACGUACUACAAUGCUUCGGACAGAGGGUUGCCAACCCGCGAGGGUGAGCUAAUCUCGUAAACCGAGGCUCAGUUCAGAUUGCAGGCUGCAACUCGCCUGCAUGAAGGCGGAAUCGCUAGUAAUCGCAGGUCAGCAUACUGCGGUGAAUACGUUCCCGGGCCUUGUACACACCGCCCGUCACACCAUGGGAGUUGGCCACGCCCGAAGUCGUUACUCCAACCGUUCGCGGAGGGGGACGCCGAAGGCAGGGCUGAUGACUGGGGUGAAGUCGUAACAAGGUAGCCGUACCGGAAGGUGUGGCUGGAUCACCUCCU